Erythrobacter sp. AP23 is the source of this 395-nucleotide non-coding RNA. The record is from Rfam. Lineage: Bacteria; Pseudomonadati; Pseudomonadota; Alphaproteobacteria; Sphingomonadales; Erythrobacteraceae.
CCAGGGGGCCGGGCAGUCGCGGGAAACCGAGGAAAGUCCGGGCUCCACGAAACAAGGGUGGCGGGUAACGCCCGCCGGGCGCAAGCUCAGGGAAAGUGCCACAGAGAGCACACCGCCGAUGGCCUGCAUGCAGGUUCAGGCAAGGGUGAAAGGGUGCGGUAAGAGCGCACCGGGGCUUCGGCAACGCGGCCCGCAUGGCAAACCCCACCCGGAGCAAGGCCGAAUAGGGGCGGCGCGCCCGCGCGAGCGGGCAGGUGCGUUUCGCAUCGACCGUCCGGGUUGGCUGCUGGAGUCGCGGAGCGAUCCGCGGCUUAGACGAAUGACUGCCCCUGCGCGGCUGGUGUGCGAACAUACCGCGUGCAGGACAGAACCCGGCUUACAGGCCCCCUGGCAAU